This 1146-nucleotide ribosomal RNA is filed under the name Salmonella enterica. Its description in RNAcentral is "partial 23S ribosomal RNA". It matches the Rfam family "Bacterial large subunit ribosomal RNA", at positions 1589 to 2716 of the family's 2925-position model. RNAcentral also lists the same sequence under 4 other names. Lineage: Bacteria; Pseudomonadati; Pseudomonadota; Gammaproteobacteria; Enterobacterales; Enterobacteriaceae. The record is from RNAcentral.
AGCAACAAAUGCCCUGCUUCCAGGAAAAGCCUCUAAGCCUCAGGUAACAUCAAAUCGUACCCCAAACCGACACAGGUGGUCAGGUAGAGAAUACCAAGGCGCUUGAGAGAACUCGGGUGAAGGAACUAGGCAAAAUGGUGCCGUAACUUCGGGAGAAGGCACGCUGACACGUAGGUGAAGUGGUUUACCCAUGGAGCUGAAGUCAGUCGAAGAUACCAGCUGGCUGCAACUGUUUAUUAAAAACACAGCACUGUGCAAACACGAAAGUGGACGUAUACGGUGUGACGCCUGCCCGGUGCCGGAAGGUUAAUUGAUGGGGUCAGCGCAAGCGAAGCUCCUGAUCGAAGCCCCGGUAAACGGCGGCCGUAACUAUAACGGUCCUAAGGUAGCGAAAUUCCUUGUCGGGUAAGUUCCGACCUGCACGAAUGGCGUAAUGAUGGCCAGGCUGUCUCCACCCGGGACUCAGUGAAAUUGAACUCGCUGUGAAGAUGCAGUGUACCCGCGGCAAGACGGAAAGACCCCGUGAACCUUUACUAUAGCUUGACACUGAACACUGGUCCUUGAUGUGCAGGAUAGGUGGGAGGCUUUGAAGUGUGGACGCCAGUCUGCAUGGAGCCAUCCUUGAAAUACCACCCUUUAAUGGCUGGUGUUCUAACGUGGGCCCGUGAACCGGGUUGCGGACAGUGUCUGGUGGGUAGUUUGACUGGGGCGGUCUCCUCCUAAAGAGUAACGGAGGAGCACGAAGGUUGGCUAAUCCUGGUCGGACAUCAGGAGGUUAGUGCAAUGGCAUAAGCCAGCUUGACUGCGAGCGUGACGGCGCGAGCAGGUGCGAAAGCAGGUCAUAGUGAUCCGGUGGUUCUGAAUGGAAGGGCCAUCGCUCAACGGAUAAAAGGUACUCCGGGGAUAACAGGCUGAUACCGCCCAAGAGUUCAUAUCGACGGCGGUGUUUGGCACCUCGAUGUCGGCUCAUCACAUCCUGGGGCUGAAGUAGGUCCCAAGGGUAUGGCUGUUCGCCAUUUAAAGUGGUACGCGAGCUGGGUUUAGAACGUCGUGAGACAGUUCGGUCCCUAUCUGCCGUGGGCGCUGGAAGAUUGAGGGGGGCUGCUCCUAGUACGAGAGGACCGGAGUGGACGCAUCACUGGUGUU